This 852-nucleotide ribosomal RNA is filed under the name Melanomma pulvis-pyrius. Its description in RNAcentral is "LSU rRNA". It matches the Rfam family "Eukaryotic large subunit ribosomal RNA", at positions 68 to 939 of the family's 3401-position model. The record is from RNAcentral. Lineage: Eukaryota; Fungi; Ascomycota; Dothideomycetes; Pleosporales; Melanommataceae.
ACAGGGAUUGCCCCAGUAACGGCGAGUGAAGCGGCAAUAGCUCAAAUUUGAAAUCUGGCUCUUUCAGGGUCCGAGUUGUAAUUUGCAGAGGGCGCUUUGGUGUCGGCAGCGGCCUAAGUUCCUUGGAACAGGUCAUCAUAGAGGGUGAGAAUCCCGUAUGUGGCUGCUUGUCUUCACCGUGUAAAGCCCCUUCGAUGAGUCGAGUUGUUUGGGAAUGCAGCUCUAAAUGGGAGGUAAAUUUCUUCUAAAGCUAAAUAUUGGCCAGAGACCGAUAGCGCACAAGUAGAGUGAUCGAAAGAUGAAAAGCACUUUGGAAAGAGAGUCAAAAAGCACGUGAAAUUGUUGAAAGGGAAGCGCUUGCAGCCAGACGUGCCCGUAGUUGCUCAUCUGGGGAUUUCCCCAGUGCACUCUUCUAUGGGCAGGCCAGCAUCAGUUCGGGCGGUUGGAGAAAGACCUGUGUCACGUAGCUCUCUUCGGGGAGUGUUAUAGGGCAGGUGGAAUGCAACCAGCCUGGACUGAGGUCCGCGCAUCUGCUAGGAUGCUGGCGUAAUGGCUGUAAGCGGCCCGUCUUGAAACACGGACCAAGGAGUCUAACAUCUAUGCGAGUGUUUGGGUGUCAAGCCCGAGCGCGUAAUGAAAGUGAACGGAGGUGGGAACCCCUCGGGGUGCACCAUCGACCGAUCCUGAUGUCUUCGGAUGGAUUUGAGUAAGAGCAUAGCUGUUGGGACCCGAAAGAUGGUGAACUAUGCCUGAAUAGGGUGAAGCCAGAGGAAACUCUGGUGGAGGCUCGCAGCGGUUCUGACGUGCAAAUCGAUCGUCAAAUUUGGGCAUAGGGGCGAAAGACUAAUCGAU